GUCCCCUUCGUCUGAGAGGCUUCCAGGACACCGCCCUUUCACGGCGGUAACAGGGGUUCGAAUCCCCUAGGGACGCCA
This 78-nucleotide transfer RNA is filed under the name Providencia rettgeri. RNAcentral's name for it is "tRNA-Glu". It matches the Rfam family "tRNA". Rfam says of the family: Transfer RNA (tRNA) molecules are approximately 80 nucleotides in length. Their secondary structure includes four short double-helical elements and three loops (D, anti-codon, and T loops). Further hydrogen bonds mediate the characteristic L-shaped molecular structure. tRNAs have two regions of fundamental functional importance: the anti-codon, which is responsible for specific mRNA codon recognition, and the 3' end, to which the tRNAs corresponding amino acid is attached (by aminoacyl-tRNA synthetases). tRNAs cope with the degeneracy of the genetic code in two manners: having more than one tRNA (with a specific anti-codon) for a particular amino acid; and 'wobble' base-pairing, i.e. permitting non-standard base-pairing at the 3rd anti-codon position. The record is from RNAcentral. Lineage: Bacteria; Pseudomonadati; Pseudomonadota; Gammaproteobacteria; Enterobacterales; Morganellaceae.